This 211-nucleotide long non-coding RNA is filed under the name Mytilus galloprovincialis (Mediterranean mussel). The record is from RNAcentral. Lineage: Eukaryota; Metazoa; Mollusca; Bivalvia; Mytilida; Mytilidae.
GUAUUAUACUCUUUACAACUUUGUACUAUUAACUGUAUUAAAAACCCAAACAGGGCUUAAUACAGACAAACUGGGCAUUAAUACAGGGCCAUUACAGAAAAACAGGGCCAUUACAGAAAAAAAAACAGGGCCAUUACAGAAAAACAGGGCCAUAACAGAAAAAACAGGGCCAUUACAGAAAAACAGGGCCAUUACAGAAAAAAACAGGGCC